Molecule: ribosomal RNA, 489 nt
Filed under: uncultured bacterium
Lineage: Bacteria
Description: bacterial SSU rRNA
Rfam family: Bacterial small subunit ribosomal RNA
Source: RNAcentral
GGUUCAGGAUGAACGCUGGCGGCGUGCCUAACACAUGCAAGUCGAACGGGGUGUCUGAUCUUCGGACUGGACACUUAGUGGCGGACGGGUGAGUAACGCGUGGGUAACCUGCCUCAUACAGGGGGAUAGCAGUUGGAAACGACUGAUAAUACCGCAUAAGCGCACAGUACCGCAUGGUACAGUGUAGAAAAACUCCGGUGGUAUGAGAUGGACCCGCGUCUGAUUAGCUUGUUGGCGGGGUAACGGCCCACCAAGGCGACGAUCAGUAGCCGGCCUGAGAGGGUGAACGGCCACAUUGGGACUGAGACACGGCCCAAACUCCUACGGGAGGCAGCAGUGGGGAAUAUUGCACAAGUACGGGGAAACCCUGAUGCAGCGACGCCGCGUGAAGGAUGAAGUUAUUUCGGUAUAGUAAACUUCUAUCAGCGAGGGAAGAUGAUGACGGUACCUGACUAAGAACGCCCCGGCUAACUACGUGCCAGCCGCUGC